AUUCUCCAUCUCCGCCAUUCAAUUCAUAAGUGUGUCCAGCACUAGCAGCCGCCACUGAAGAGAAAUCCCCAUACUGUGUCUGUGUAAUUCCUUGAAACCGACUUUCGCUGUUCCGACAACAUAAGAUGGCGUCAUCUGCCGUAGCUCCGACGUCCUCAUUCCUUGUUGACAAGAAAAUUUUGGGAUUUUCAGCUUCCUGUGCCCAGCCUUCUUCAUUUCCAUGUUCCCGCAGCUU
Molecule: non-coding RNA, 235 nt
Organism: Salvia hispanica
Lineage: Eukaryota; Viridiplantae; Streptophyta; Magnoliopsida; Lamiales; Lamiaceae
Source: RefSeq, a predicted model, not a curated record